AUUGAACGCUGGCGGCAUGCCUUACACAUGCAAGUCGAACGGCAGCACGGGAGCAAUCCUGGUGGCGAGUGGCGAACGGGUGAGUAAAGUAUCGGAACGUGCCCAGUCGUGGGGGAUAACGUAGCGAAAGUUACGCUAAUACCGCAUACGAUCUAGGGAUGAAAGCGGGGGAUCGAAAGACCUCGCGCGAUUGGAGCGGCCGAUAUCAGAUUAGGUAGUUGGUGGGGUAAAGGCUCACUAAGCCGACGAUCUGUAGCUGGUCUGAGAGGACGACCAGCCACACUGGGACUGAGACACGGCCCAGACUCCUACGGGAGGCAGCAGUGGGGAAUUUUGGACAAUGGGCGAAAGCCUGAUCCAGCCAUGCCGCGUGCAGGAUGAAGGCCUUCGGGUUGUAAACUGCUUUUGUACGGAACGAAAAGGUUUGGCCUAAUAAGCUGAGCUCAUGACGGUACCGUAAGAAUAAGCACCGGCUAACUACGUGCCAGCCGCCGCAGUAA
This 500-nucleotide ribosomal RNA is filed under the name uncultured bacterium. Its description in RNAcentral is "partial 16S ribosomal RNA". It matches the Rfam family "Bacterial small subunit ribosomal RNA", at positions 30 to 523 of the family's 1533-position model. The record is from RNAcentral.